AAAUUGAAGAGUUUGAUCAUGGCUCAGAUUGAACGCUGGCGGCAGGCCUAACACAUGCAAGUCGAGCGGAAACGAGUUAUCUGAACCUUCGGGGAACGAUAACGGCGUCGAGCGGCGGACGGGUGAGUAAUGCCUAGGAAAUUGCCCUGAUGUGGGGGAUAACCAUUGGAAACGAUGGCUAAUACCGCAUAAUGCCUACGGGCCAAAGAGGGGGACCUUCGGGCCUCUCGCGUCAGGAUAUGCCUAGGUGGGAUUAGCUAGUUGGUGAGGUAAUGGCUCACCAAGGCGACGAUCCCUAGCUGGUCUGAGAGGAUGAUCAGCCACACUGGAACUGAGACACGGUCCAGACUCCUACGGGAGGCAGCAGUGGGGAAUAUUGCACAAUGGGCGCAAGCCUGAUGCAGCCAUGCCGCGUGUGUGAAGAAGGCCUUCGGGUUGUAAAGCACUUUCAGUCGUGAGGAAGGUAGUGUAGUUAAUAGCUGCAUUAUUUGACGUUAGCGACAGAAGAAGCACCGGCUAACUCCGUGCCAGCAGCCGCGGUAAUACGG
This 548-nucleotide ribosomal RNA is filed under the name Vibrio rotiferianus. RNAcentral describes it as "bacterial SSU rRNA". It matches the Rfam family "Bacterial small subunit ribosomal RNA", at positions 1 to 528 of the family's 1533-position model. The record is from RNAcentral. Lineage: Bacteria; Pseudomonadati; Pseudomonadota; Gammaproteobacteria; Vibrionales; Vibrionaceae.